UUGUAGCAAAAUGGCGACUGUCAUUCACAACCCCCUGAAAGCGCUUGGGGACCAGUUCUACAAGGAAGCCAUUGAGCACUGCCGCAGCUAUAAUUCGCGGCUCUGCGCAGAGCGCAGUGUGCGCCUCCCCUUUCUGGACUCGCAGACCGGGGUGGCCCAGAACAACUGCUACAUCUGGAUGGAGAAGAGGCACCGCGGCCCAGGCCUUGCCCCGGGCCAGCUAUACACAUACCCUGCCCGCUGCUGGCGUAAGAAGAGACGAUUGCACCCGCCUGAGGAUCCUAAACUUCGGCUGCUGGAAAUAAAACCUGAAGUGGAGCUGCCCCUGAAGAAGGAUGGCUUCACCUCAGAAAGCACCACCCUGGAAGCCUUGCUCCGGGGUGAGGGUGUGGAGAAGAAGGUGGAUGCCAGAGAGGAGGAAAGCAUGCAGGAGAUACAGAGGGUUUUGGAAAAUGAUGAAAAUGUAGAAGAAGGAAACGAAGAAGAAGAUUUAGAAGAAGAUAUCCCCAAGCGCAAGAACAGGACCCGAGGACGGGCCCGUGGCUCGGCAGGUGGCAGGAGGAGGCACGACGCUGCCUCCCAGGAAGACCACGACAAACCUUACGUCUGUGACAUCUGCGGCAAGCGCUACAAGAACCGGCCAGGACUUAGCUACCACUACGCUCACACUCACCUGGCCAGUGAGGAGGGAGAUGAGGCUCAAGACCAGGAGACCCGGUCCCCGCCCAACCACAGAAAUGAGAACCACAGACCCCAGAAAGGACCGGAUGGGACAGUCAUUCCCAACAACUACUGUGACUUCUGCUUGGGGGGCUCUAAUAUGAACAAGAAGAGUGGGCGGCCUGAAGAGCUGGUAUCCUGUGCAGACUGUGGACGAUCUGCUCAUUUGGGAGGAGAAGGCAGGAAGGAGGAGGCAGCGGCCGCAGCACGCACCACGGAGGACUUAUUCGGUUCCACGUCAGAAAGUGACACGUCAACUUUCCACGGCUUUGAUGAGGACGAUUUGGAAGAGCCUCGCUCCUGCCGAGGACGCCGCAGUGGCCGGGGUUCGCCCACAGCAGAUAAAAAGGGCAGUUGCUAAACCCACGGAACAGACUCUCUGGGCGACUAGCCGUCACCCUCUGACUUUGGUCAUUAUUCUGGGUCUGAUAUAUAUUUUUUUUAAAUGAAAGUCAACUUUAGGUUUUCCCUUCAUCUUUGCUUUUUCCUCUCUCCUUCCACACGCAUCCUCUCCCCCGCCCCCCGUUUUGGGUAUGUACAACAGAAGCACAAACUCCUGAAACAAAGCAGAACAAAAGAGCAGAAUGACAGUCCUUCAGAGAGAUGGCAUUGGGACGCACUGUUAAUUUUCCGUAGAAAUGGGAAGUUAGGUGGAUUGUCUCUCUUUGGGGAUGGGUGGUGGGGAUCUUUUUGACUUGAGCAGAGUCGAUUUCCUCAGUUUUCCUAUUUAUUGGCAAAAUGAAGAGAGGAGGAACAUUGGGUUUGAAAACAACAAAUAACAUUAAAAAUGAUUAUUUAUGUAUUCUAGCUAUUAUUAGAAAUGGACCUUUUUUUUUGAGAGAGAGAGAGAGAGAGAGAGAGAGAGAAAGCAAAUCAAAGCAAUUGAAGUGAUAUCCUGCUUGGGAGAGAGCCGCUGGGGGAGGGAUUGAUUCAAGGACACCUAGUCGGGAGGAUUUCCUCGCUGGGAGAUGAUGGUGCUUUCUGUACCCCACGGAGUGUGUGGCUCCCUACGGCAGACCCCUUCCCCAUUUCUGCUCCCUAACCUUUCCAUCUUCCUCCCUGCUUGUGAGAAAAUGUCAGCAGCUCCUGGGAAGUCUGGGCCUCCGCGUGUGGCCUCCCUCCAGUGCCUGGGCCCUGACUCCAGCACCUCCCGGGCUCCUCCCCUCCACCAGCAUAGCUGGCUGUGGUGUAGUCGCUGGGCUUCUCCUCACUUUCCUCCUGGCGAAGAGCAAUUUCCAAAUGCAGGAAUGGAAUAUAAACAGAAAGUCAUGGACUCAGCAGUGACAAAGCAAGCCGAGGCCGUGCUCAUGGAAGGAAGAAUGAUACCUCACAGUAUAUGUCCCUCUCCCCUGGCCCCUGUUGACAAACAUAAAUUCCCGUUGGAUGAUCAAGUCUCCCGUGUUUCUUCCUCUAUUUUUUUUUAUAGUGCCCUCCAGGCACCUUGUUUUAUGUUUCCAAUAGCACCUCCUGAAAUAAACCAAAGCAACACUUGCUCAAGGUCCCUGGGCGAUGGAGAAGACCAUCCACCUUGUUGGCAGUCCCAAGAAUGAACAGCUGUGCAGUCCUAGUCAAAAGUCAACUCUAUGACCUGGGGACUCCGGCAUCCUCCAAGCAAGCCAUUUCCGAAGAGAGUGACAAGAAGCCACGUUGAUUUGUGCCUCCUUCUUCUCCUCCUUCCUCUUCCCUUGCCUGGCCCCCUCCUGUGCGUGUGUUUCAGCCAACACAGGAGCCUGGAUUGUGGAAACGCCUCCAGCGCGACUCAGCUCAGCUCAGAGAAGUCUCGGGAAUGGCCUAAGUUUGUGCAAUAAGAAGAUUUUUUUUUUUCCUUUUUAAAAAUUCUUCAUUACAUUUUCUUUAAGUGUCUGUGAGAAAGUACCCAGGUCAGACUGGAAUUGCUCUACAAUAGAAAUAACUAAACACGAACAAACUGACGGAAAAAAAAGAGUUAACUAUUUUAUUUAUUUCAAUAUUUAAAAGAAAAAAGUGCUGACGUGGCACAGUAUUUUUGUUUAAAGUACCUUCUACUUCGAAAGUUAAAAGCAAUUUUGUGAAGACACGAAAUCAAAAGAGUACUUAAUGUAAAAUAAAGACUGCAUAUUAACUCUAAGGAAAAAUACCCCACAUUUUUAAUAAGAAAAUAAAGAUCAACUCUGCUCUCUCAGGCUUUUAAAAAAGCCAUUCAUGUAUGUGCUUUAGAUAUUUUUAUUUCUGCGAGUUGGAUGUGGUAAGUGAGGAGUGAUUGGUUUUUUUUUUCCUUCUUCAAAAUUCUAUUGAAAGUGUUGGUGAUGUUAUGUGGUUAUGUGUUAAGACGUGACCGAAAUAAAUUAGCCACAAAGGCUAUCAGCAGUCUCUCCGCCCCUGCCCCCUGCCAAAAAAACUCCUUUCCCCACCCCCCUCCCCAUAGGCAAUCCCCAUUUAUCUGGAUGUCAAUAAGCAGCUCGCCUUCUGGUCGUCAUGUCUGAUGAGGCCUAGUUCAGAAAGGAAUUCCAUCUAGUGAUUAACCAUAUCUCUGCGAGGGCAACAUUUUCAAAUACAGACAGCUUUGUUUAAAAUAAUGCAGUGAAGAAAGAGAAAAAAAAAAGAUGACAAAAUAUGCAUCAGCUGAGAUGAUGUUCAUUUGGUCACCUAACAACUUCCAGAGGAGACUUGCAGAGGGAGCCUUCUGCUGAGCUGGCUUUAGGGGCCCUAAAGUUCUAGAGGGUCUCCAAGGACGAGGAAGGCCAACCUGAGUGACAGAAGCCUCAAAUUCAGUUGCUCGUGAGGGUAAAGGAGAAAGGCUCAUUUUCUAACAUGUUCCCUUGUGGCCAUGUGGGUGGCAGUGAACGUGAUGGCCUAAGAAAUGUUAAUUCAGCUCUGUGUCUGUGGCCUAGGGACGGAGCUGGGCUGCCUGGCCAGGCUACUCCGUUCUAUUCCACAUCUUCUGCAUGUCCAUGCUCUUGACCUUCCCUCACUUGCAAGCAGAAUCAUCAUCAUGAACAUACAGCCUAACGCCGGAUAUUCCCGUCAGUGAGUCCUUGAGUGUCCGUGUUACUGAAAUGGGUCUGAGCUUGAGAAUCUCUCUUGCCUUUGAAAGGGGAGAUUGGAUGGCACAGACUUCCUGCUAGCCCCUUCAGCUUUCUCAUUCAAGGCCAGUCCCGGGAGGAGCUCACCAAGGGUGUCUUUGUAUCCUGUAGCCCUUUUCGGUGACAUUUUCUGAUAGAAAAGGUCCCUUUUCAAAAUGCUAAUAAUUAUAAUAAUAACCCACUCUCCAACCAACUCCCGCAAGUUAUAAUGUGUAGAAUUGUGAUAAAGCUUUGCAUAAUGUAGGGUUUGUAUCAAAUUUGUGUAAGUUUCUGUUAAAUAAAAGCCUGUUUCCAAUGCUCC
Molecule: RNA transcript, 4083 nt
Organism: Zalophus californianus (California sea lion)
Lineage: Eukaryota; Metazoa; Chordata; Mammalia; Carnivora; Otariidae
Gene: DPF3
Gene name: double PHD fingers 3
Exons: 10
Source: RefSeq, a predicted model, not a curated record